GGUGAACGCUGGCGGCGUGCCUAAUACAUGCAAGUCGAGCGAACGGACGAGAAGCUUGCUUCUCUGAUGUUAGCGGCGGACGGGUGAGUAACACGUGGAUAACCUACCUAUAAGACUGGGAUAACUUCGGGAAACCGGAGCUAAUACCGGAUAAUAUUUUGAACCGCAUGGUUCAAAAGUGAAAGACGGUCUUGCUGUCACUUAUAGAUGGAUCCGCGCUGCAUUAGCUAGUUGGUAAGGUAACGGCUUACCAAGGCAACGAUGCAUAGCCGACCUGAGAGGGUGAUCGGCCACACUGGAACUGAGAUACGGUCCAGACUCCUACGGGAGGCAGCAGUAGGGAAUCUUCCGCAAUGGGCGAAAGCCUGACGGAGCAACGCCGCGUGAGUGAUGAAGGUCUUCGGAUCGUAAAACUCUGUUAUUAGGGAAGAACAUAUGUGUAAGUAACUGUGCACAUCUUGACGGUACCUAAUCAGAAAGCCACGGCUAACUACGUG
Molecule: ribosomal RNA, 497 nt
Filed under: uncultured bacterium
Lineage: Bacteria
Description: partial 16S ribosomal RNA
Rfam family: Bacterial small subunit ribosomal RNA
Source: RNAcentral